UUUUAUUAUUAUGGCUUGCAUAGAAUUUUGGAUCUAAAAAGUUUUGUCCAUUUUCUUAAGAAAAAUUAUAAUUAUUCGACAAUAAUGACAUUAUUUUUAAUUGUAGAAUAAUAAUUAUUUUCAUAAAUAUUUUUAAUUUAUGAUAAAAACAAUAAAAUAACUAUUCUAAAUUAUAUAUAAAUGUUUAUAUAUUAUUUAUAGAAUUUUAUAAGGUGAUGAUUGUUUUGAUGGUUUUUAAAUUUUAGUUUUUAGUUUUUGGCUUUUAGAGUUUAGUUUUUGGAUUUUUGGUUUUUGAUUUUGCAGUAGAUUUUAGUUUUUUUUUUUAACACAAAUGGGAUUUUGGGUUUUACUGUUUUAGCUUUCAUUUUUUUAAAAAAAAAUAAAAUAUUUAUUUAAUUCUUUGGUUUUUAAUUUUAUUGUAGUUUUAGAUUUUAGAAAAACUUGAGUGAUAAAUUUUCAGUUUUUAAUUAUUUUUAAUAUAUUUUAUUAACUAUUUUUGGUUGAAGUUGAAAUAAAAAUUAAUUACAAAUAUAUAAACUUUAUUAAAAAAUAAAAUUAUAUUUCUACAUUUUUUUUAAUUUUUGAUUUAUAUUUUAUUUUCUAAAAUUUGAUUCCUGGCUUAUUUUAGUUUUUCUUUUAUUUAACAAUAAAAUAAAUUAUAAAAAAAAAUCAAACAACCGUAAAAUUACUUAAA
RNAcentral lists this long non-coding RNA (694 nucleotides) under Brassica rapa (field mustard). RNAcentral describes it as "long non-coding RNA (BRAP_LNC005506)". Lineage: Eukaryota; Viridiplantae; Streptophyta; Magnoliopsida; Brassicales; Brassicaceae. The record is from RNAcentral.